RNAcentral lists this unclassified non-coding RNA (335 nucleotides) under soil metagenome. Its description in RNAcentral is "partial contains 5.8S ribosomal RNA, internal transcribed spacer 2, and large subunit ribosomal RNA". The stretch from base 1 to 120 matches the Rfam family "5.8S ribosomal RNA", at positions 35 to 154 of the family's 154-position model. The record is from RNAcentral.
GAUGAAGAACGCAGCGAAAUGCGAUAAGUAGUGUGAAUUGCAGAAUUCAGUGAAUCAUCGAAUCUUUGAACGCACAUUGCGCCCCUUGGUAUUCCAUGGGGCAUGCCUGUUCGAGCGUCAUUUGUACCUUCAAGCUCUGCUUGGUGUUGGGUGUUUGUCCUUGCUCUAGUGGCGGGACUCGCCUUAAAGUAAUUGGCAGCCAGUGUUUUGGUUUUGAAGCGCAGCACAAGUCGCGAUUCAAGUCUAUACGCUAGUUUCCACAAGUCUUUUAUCACUUGUGACCUCGGAUCAGGUAGGGAUACCCGCUGAACUUAAGCAUAUCAAUAAGCGGAGGA